Mytilus californianus (California mussel) is the source of this 2166-nucleotide long non-coding RNA. RefSeq lists it as uncharacterized. The transcript is spliced from 2 exons. NCBI's taxonomy places the organism in Eukaryota, Metazoa, Mollusca, Bivalvia, Mytilida, Mytilidae. The record is from RefSeq and is a predicted model, not a curated record.
ACCAUUCAAACAAAGCAGUCAAUCGGCUAUUGAAAGUAAGAUUUACAUUUAAACAAACGUUCAAUGAAAAAUAAAAACUUUGUACUUCCUAGGAUUGUUACUUUUUCUGAGAGGAAAUUCAGAGGAACAAUAGGAUACAUAUGAACCCAAGGCUGUAAAUGAUUACUACUGGUUUGUCUGAAGUUAUUGUACAAGGUUGCUGAUUUUUGUGUGCAGAAAGUUACUAAUAACAUAAGAUUCAACGUGAUAGAUUAAAUAGUGUUUGAAUAAGAACUCCAGAAGAAUGGAUAACAAAGAACCCGAGCCAGAUUACCUACCCAGAGACGUACAGAGGUGUUUGAAUAAGAACUCCAGAAGAAUGGAUAACAAAGAACCCGAGCCAGAUUACCUACCCAGAGACGUACAGAGGAACAAGAACUGUAAUUUUUCAGGAGGACAAAAUGUAGUUUGCUUUCAUACUUCAGCAACACAAAACAGAUAUAUCAAAGAAGCACAAAACCUGGGUAGCAUUCAUGAUGAAUUAUCAUAUACUGACAAUAUUUCUACUGAUGAUAUGAACAAUUGGGUUAAAUGGCGGGAAAUUGCAAAUGAACAAUUAGCAGUAUUGAUUCGUGCAUCACCUUCGUCAGACAAAAGUUUGACAAGACCUCCAUUGGAGAAAAACGUUUUAACGAAUAUCGAAACUCAUUUUAAGAAAUGUUAUCCUUCACUUUCUGGUCAUCUCUCUAGUAAGCAAUUUGUAAUGUUUGGUAUACCACGAGCAAAGUUAUUCAUUUUACGUUAAAAUAUAAACUUAGGACUAAGAGGUUAAUUAAAAAAACAAAUUUUGUACCAAACAUUUUCCUUGGCUUUUCAUUGAAUUCCUUUUACAAAUAAAAGGUAAAUUGUUGUACAAAUUAUAAAGCUCUUCAAUACACCAAGUUAUAGAGUGUUUCUUUUGUUCUUUAUCAUAGUAAAUUAUCCUAAAAUCUAUCUGUAUGCAACAACUAAGUUUUUUCCAGCUCACAGACCUACUCGUUGUCACGAAGGACGUUUUAAUAUAUUUGUUCUCUAUAGUUUAUAUCAAAACAACGUGCCAAGGUCGAUACAUUCAAAAGUCGCCGUGUGAAUCUUACAGUGUUAUAUGUCCACUUUUGAUAAAAAUAAAGAUAGCUAUGUAUUUGAUAUUCAAAUGCAAUGGUCUAUCUCCCUAUACAACUAUAAUACGAGAUGUCUACACUCUACAAGAUUUGUCAGAACUGCACUGUUCUAUCUCCACACUCUCAUUGGAUUAUAGCUUAUUCAUCUUGUUAGUUCACAGAAAAAAUAUUUGUUUAGUGUUGUAACUCCACUAUUUUUCAGGUAUUUUUCCUGUAAAAUUAUUCUUUGUAGUACUAUGCUUAAAGUGUUUGCACGAUUUGAUCUCAAUCUAUGAACAAUUCUUAGAAAAUCCAGAACAGCAGUCCAGAAUUGGGGAUAUUACACAGUUAAAAAAUCCAUGGUGUAUCUCUUAGAGAAACAUAGGGAUAAAUUUCUAAAACAACAUUGUUUGUAGUGAAUUGUUCUAUCUCCAGAAAAAGGGAUGCUUUAUUUAUCUAAGCUGCUUGUCUAUUAAAAACAUCCAAUUGAACAAAUAAUUUCUCUUCAUGUACGUAAAUUCAAUCCAAUUAUAACUUUUUAUGCGUCAGUCAAAUAUUUAUGAUAUUGCGCUUUUAAACUUUAAUUUUGAUUUAUACCACUAUUACCAAAUUGGGAAUUCAUGAUUAUAAGAUUCACACGACGAAAUGUGAAUUUUUGCUGUGUUUCGUUAAAUUGUGUUGGUAUUUUUACUUAAACUUAUGUGUUUUAGCUUUACAAUUUGACAUAUACAUUUACAAAAUAUUGACGUGUUAAAAUUACUAUGCAUAUAGAUGUACCGAAUAUAGGCGUGUUAAAAUUCCUAUGGCAUAUACUUGAAAAUGUACGGAAAAGUUGCGUGUUCCUGUGACAUAUACAUGUACGGAAUAAAGACGUGUCACUGUGACAUAUAGUCAGUAUUAGAGAACCACAAAAUGAAUAAAUGAAUAGUAUGUAUAUUAGUUAUUUGUUUCCAUAGCAACAUUAUAAACUUAUUUUACACCAUUCUCCUAUAAAAUGUUGUUUUCAUAUGCUAUAUUUAGAGAACAAUGAUAAAUUAUAUGACAACAC